UAUCUACGGGAGGCAGCAGUAGGGAAUUUGUCACAAUGGGCGCAAGCCUGAUGGAGCAAUCCCGCGUGGAUGACGAAGGUUGUAACAAAUUGUAAAAUCCUUUUAUUGAGAUCGAAAUGUAAGAAGAGGAAAUGCUUAUAUGAGACUGUUUUCAAUGAAUAAGUAUCGGCUAAAUAUGUGCCAGCAGCCGCGGUAAUACAUAGGAUGCAAGGGUUAUCCGGAUUUUUUGGGCGUAAAGCAAGCGCAGGCGGAUAUGCAAGUUUAGUGUUAAAUACUUAUACCUAACAGGAGUAUUCAUUAAAAACUGCAAGUCUAGAGGGUAGUAAAGGUUUUGGGGAGUCCAGAUGGAGCGGUGAAAUGCCCGGAUAUAUGGAAGAACUCCAGAGGCGAAGCCGAAAAAUUGGACUAUAACUGACGCUUAGGCUCGAAAGUGUGGGGAGCAAAUAGGAUUAGAUACCCUAGUAGUCCACGCUGUAACCCACGGUAAUUAAAUCUUGGUAAGGAAUUUAUCAGGAUUGCAGUUAACGCGCUAAAUUUCUUGCCCGGGUAGUACAUUGGCACGAAAGAACUCAAACAGAAAGGCGGGGGCUCGCCCCACAAGCGGAUCAGGUGUGGGUAUUUAGACGAUAAUAGAAAAACCUUGACCCGCCUCUGUACUGACAUAUGUCUUAAC
This 673-nucleotide ribosomal RNA is filed under the name Mycoplasma sp. RNAcentral's name for it is "bacterial SSU rRNA". It matches the Rfam family "Bacterial small subunit ribosomal RNA", at positions 335 to 1002 of the family's 1533-position model. Lineage: Bacteria; Bacillati; Mycoplasmatota; Mollicutes; Mycoplasmatales; Mycoplasmataceae. The record is from RNAcentral.